RNAcentral lists this ribosomal RNA (301 nucleotides) under uncultured bacterium. RNAcentral describes it as "partial 16S ribosomal RNA". It matches the Rfam family "Bacterial small subunit ribosomal RNA", at positions 509 to 807 of the family's 1533-position model. The record is from RNAcentral.
CAGUAGCCGCGGGAAUACGUAGGGUGCAAGCGUUAAUCGGAAUUACUGGGCGUAAAGCGUGCGCAGGCGGUUCUAUAAGACAGAUGUGAAAUCCCCGGGCUCAACCUGGGAACUGCAUUUGUGACUGUAGAGCUGGAGUGCGGCAGAGGGGGAUGGAAUUCCGCGUGUAGCAGUGAAAUGCGUAGAUAUGCGGAGGAACACCGAUGGUGAAGGCAAUCCCCUGGGCCUGCACUGACGCUCAUGCACGAAAGCGUGGGGAGCAAACAGGAUUAGAUACCCGUGUAGUCCCUGUCUCUUAUAC